Molecule: long non-coding RNA, 18318 nt
Filed under: Triticum aestivum (bread wheat)
Lineage: Eukaryota; Viridiplantae; Streptophyta; Magnoliopsida; Poales; Poaceae
Description: long non-coding RNA (TAES_LNC004378)
Source: RNAcentral
AGAAACCCGAGGCCUAACUACCAUCAUUAUAUGAACUGAUAUCAAGAAAACAAAACAGUUAAUAUAAUGAUGGUAGUUAGAACUGAUAUCAAGAAAAAAAAUGCAGUUAGCACAAAACUCAAAUCCUGAAAAGCCUCCUAGAUUAUUGUGACUUAUACGUACUCACAUUAUCGCUCAAAUUACAAUACAUAAAUCUAAUACACAAAAAUUGGGCAACACCAAUGUUCCAGCUGUCCUCUGGAAUAUCUACGUUCGAAUUGGAGAAGUUAUCAUUGCAGAAGCUUCUGUACAUGCCUCCUGCAUAUAACCUGAUCAAGGUUCAAACAGGUGGCAUAUGGAGGCAUGUUCUUUUGACAGGACCAUACGUUUUUGCGUGCCUUGGUUCGGCCUUCAGCAACUCAAGUUCCGUUGUUACCCUGUGAGACAACACCCAGUUGCCCAAAUAAAAUAUUUGAAGCAGACAAAGUCUCUGCAUAAAAAUGAAUGUAGGGUCACUAUUCCAACCAGCCAACGAUUAUAUCAGGUCAAUCUUGCUCCACGCCCUUUGACAAGGCAUUUUCUUCGUCCAUCUUGUACUUGGCCACAUUGGCAUUUACUUCCACUAUGUUCUCAAUAGCCACUUCAGCAGUAGUUUCCACCAUCUUGUCCUUAGCCUCGUCAGCACUUUCUUCCCCCAUCUUGUCUUCUAUAGUCACAUUACCUUCAUCCAUCUUGUUUACUUCCUGCACCAUAUCAUCUUUUGACUCAACAGUAUCUUCCUCUAUCUUGUCAUUGUUCACAGCAUCAGUUGCCUCACCAUUUUCUUUCUCUGUGCCAUCCUUCGCAUUAUCCAAAACAAUAUCACCAUUGCCAGUUUCAGGAGGGGCUGCAUCAGCAUUUGCAUGGGGUGCAUAAUAUUGCAUGGAUUGCAUCUGUUGCAGAGAUAUGGAGGUUGGGUUGUCAGUUUUUUAAUGUGUCAAAUAUAUGCCGCAUAACUAAAUUUUACCAAGCAAAGGCUCUACUAGAGAAUGUAGUACUAAAGUACCUGGCGAAGAUGUUCCAGUCUGAAGUUCACCAAGUGUCCAAUAUCUUCAACAUCAGUAAUAUAAUGAAUAUUUCCAGCUUCUCCCAAAGGUCGCUCUGUAAAUGGAGUGCACUCUUCAAGAUUUAACGCAAGCUUAUCGGGCCUUUGGAGUAGAAGCUGGAAUGUUGGCUGCAGUUCAUAGCAUUGUUCAAACAGAGAACAGCGGCAGAACACAUACAAACCCAAACGAGCACGGGACAUUGCCACAAUAAGCCUUCUGACAUCACGAAGAUGACCCACAAAUCGGGUCCGGACAAGAGACAAUAAAAUAAAAUCAUUUUGUUGACCCUGGAAUUUGUCCACUGUAGUAACCUAAAUAAUACAUAUUGAAGUUUAGUUUCAGCACAAAAUAGCUGCAAAAUGAUCAAAUAUUUGAUUGGAAAAUUCUGGAUUGUUCUAAAUUACCUUGCAAGGUGGCUCAAUAUUCCAUGGCUUGCAUCGUCUGCUGAUAACAUCACGAAUAAGAAGCUUCUGACCAUUGUAAGUGGUUAAUAUUGAAAUCUUAUUGGCAGGGUAUCCAAUCAGACGCAUGUAAAUAUAGACACUAACAAUAUACUCAGCCUCCCCUUCAUUCUGGUAGAACCAAGGAGAAGGAGCAGACUCGCCUCUGCCACGAUAAUCAGGAACAUCAACCAGCUGAUACUCGUAAGAGAACCCAGAAUUAGCUUUAUGGAAUAUAGCUUCCUCAUGUACAUAAGGCAGAUCUCCCAGUUCUCUGUAUCUCCAAUUAUAAAGCUGAGCAAUACUAGGUCUGGCACGACCCUGAGCAUUGAGUUCAAUAUAAGGGACACCAAGGCGAACAAACCUUGUGAAGAGACUCUGGUCCAUGUGGCUGUACUUCUGAAAAGCCAUGUUCUUCACGACAGGGGGUAACUGAUGGUGAUCACCAAUUAAAAUGCAACGUUUGAGACGAGCAUAGCCAUCUUCCUGCCGUUGCAGGAGAGUUGGUAUAAAAGUCUCUAUCUCCAAUAUCUGUGCACUUUCUUCCAUCAGUAAAUUGUCAUAUUUGAAACCCAAUUGAAGAAAGUCUCUUCUCUUCAAUGCUGCAUGAGUACAAGUCAUGGCAACAAUCUUAGCUUGUUUGGUCAUCAGAUAAUUUGCUCGCUCAGCUGUUGACUUCAGUAACUCAAAAGCCCUGCACUCUUCCAGCUCUUGGAAUAUCGUAGAAAGAUGUUUGAAACAUCCUUUGGCUGCAUGCAUAUCUUUCUCAAAGGACUCACCAGUAAACACAGGCUGUUGGGUAUCCGAAAAGAACUCGGAAAAUGGAAAACGGUCUUUAACAAAAGAGGGAUUCUCCUUAUUUGGCACACAUGCAGCCAAGAAUUGUUCCCAGCGGGCAUAAACAUGUAAUAACCAAAAAUAUGCAGCAUUUUCACAUGUGUAGCUCACAUCUUCAGGAAGAUGAAGGGAUAUUGCCAGUUUUGCAACUUCACCAAGCAGCUCUAGUCGCCGAACCAGCAUAGCAUUUACACGACCUUGACGGCUAAAAUCAAGAUCAGUUGCCAGUUCUUGUUCACCCUGACCAAGACGAAGAAGGUACCUAGCAGGCACAUCCCUCUGAAGAAAGAGUUUACAUCAGACAAUCAGACGAAAAAUAAACAUGCAGCAAAACAAGUACACAGAGCACCCUAUAUGUUUUGAUACGUAUAUUUGAUACAUUCAUCAUCAUGAAGUGUAACUCAAACUCCAGCAGUCAGAACACUUGGAAUAAGUCAAGAAUCAACAGUAGCACAACACUGCAUCGACAUGAGGCAUACAUAAUCGUUUCAUCUAGAAGCCCUCAAGGACCAAGAGAUGAUAUCUAUUCUUCUAUUCAAACUCAGUUGAUACAACAUGUGUUCUAUAGCAAGGUACAAAAUUAGAAUCUUGCACUUCGAAGUGAUGGCUACUCAAGUAAUUUCCAGUCAUACAUUGCAGCACCGAUAGCUAGUAACUCAUGCAUAUUAAAGAACAUCAUUUUCAGAUAAAACAACCACUGAUUCGCACUAUCUCUAAAAAAGUACAGAUAUAUGACAAGAGUUGAGACAAUAUUUGGUGCAGUGGCAAUACCUGCAUUAUCUUCUCGAACAAAUCAUUCAAAGCUUGAUUCGAAUGGGUUAUAAUAAGUGUUCUUUGUGAAGGACAGUUAUGAUAUAGAACAUUUAAUAUCUGCACAGCUGUAUCUGUUUUUCCCGUUCCAGGAGGACCAACAACCAUCGUCAACCCAGGUUGAAUACCAGAUAUUAUAGCGCCGACCUACAAAUCAAAACUUAAAGUCAAAUCAGAUAUUCAUUUAUCUUCAAAGCAGCUGUUGGAGUGUCAUUGGCUGCGCCGCUUUCUGCAACUCGUAGUUACAAAACCUUAUUAAUUUAAGUGAUUCUUGUCGACGGAUCACUAUCCAUCAAACCCCUUCCUGAGAUAUGUUUCACACCCCUCUCCCUCUCCUUCUCCCUCUCCCUCUCUCUGCUGGAGCUGAAUGACUCGCCUUCUCUCUCUCUGUUGUUUCUCACAACAUGCACAAGUACACAAGCUGUUUCUGUGGUUUGCUGCCUCACACAGCCAAAGCCAUCUCUAUUGUUGAUGCACUACAAGCUUACAUUAUUCUACAUAUAGCAUCUUCUUAUAUAGAGGUGUUAGGUCAGUGCUACAGUAGCCAACCUAGACAGCUCAUACCCAACAAGAUCUGGAAACUACAGCUAUUACAGCUCACCUUAUCGAAUCUUCCUCAACUACUAAGUCAGACCAAAAUAUCCUAAAAGGGCUGCUACUACAUGACAUAAGGACUAUCCUAACAUUCUCUCCCUAAUCCUUGUGUAUCUACUCUCUCCCUCAUAAUCUUGUCAUAUGCACUCGCCAAAAUCUUAACGCUUGCCUUGAAUGACACCUUGUCAUGUUGUACUAAGUGGCACGUACUAAAAAUGUUCUCCCCCAAUGACAUAUCUACAAUGUUCAAUUUGUUUCUACGAGGUGCAUGCAUGUGAUAAGGGCUAAAGGCACUGUAUUUCUCACAAGAAAUGCUUUUAAGGUAUCCUGGUAUGUUCUGUCUCAAGGAUAUGCACCACCGACAAUGAUGGUUUAGCUUAAGUAUCAUCCUAUCCUGCAGUAUUCAGAUAAAAAAGUUUUAGUUGAGGACCUAAAAAGUACCUGAGUGGGUGUAAACCUCACUGAGUUCUGGUUAGGUUUAUCUUGAGGAUAUGGCACUGGGUCAGCAGGAAUGUAAGUCUCCACCCUUAGUUUUUCUUUCUGAGACCCUUCAUCAUCAACCAUGUUGUUCUUGCUUGCGGUAUCAGAGGCAUUUACAUUGCCGGGUAGAGCAUGACUUAUUUCCCUCAUUUUCUUGGACAACUUGAUCCUAAAGGGAGGGCUUGGAUGCAUGUUUUCUGUACCAUCAGUAUUGAUGAAUGUGACCUUCAAAUAAUGUUGAGUUAGACCAAAUAGAUAGAAAAGAACAUCCACCUCGAGAUAACUAGAAUUGGAUUACAGUAAUUACCUGGAAAGCUGGAAAGCUUUGCACAACGUGGCUAGCAUCAAGAAAAGUGUCCUUAAAAUCUAUAGUUUCCAGAAGAUCAGGCAUAUUUAUCCACUGUGCGGCAGAAGGAUUUCCGUAACCCAAGAAUAUGUUAUGCAACCAUUCAGGAACUACACAUGUUUCAUUCAUUAGAUCACGUAUGGAUUCUAGGAUUGCUUUGAAAUUAUUUUCCUUGGGUUUCCUUCUCAUUAGAAUAUUAAAUGUCCCAUAAACAUUUUCUGCACCCUUCUCUGCUAACUCAGUAGCAUCAAUGUGAUACUGUGCUGUAUCUAAGGUAAUUUUAACUGUACGAAUCUCACCCUUUGGAGGUUUCCACUCAUCCUUCUUUACCCUUCCUGUAUAGUCAUUCAUGAGUCCCCCUUCCUCAUCACGGAUUUCAAUCACCUCACAACCACGUACAUAUUGCAAUCCUAACCUUUCAGGCACAGUUGAUUUUGCAGCCUCCUCGGGGCUAAGAGGUUCAAAAGAUGGGCGGAUUGACAACAAAAAUAACACAUCAUGCUCUUUCAGAGCAUCCCACUCAGAUUUUAUCUGUGAUCUGUAGCUUGAUAUGCUAAAAGUAACAUCAGCAGUUACAGCAGAAGGCUUAACCUCUCCAAUGUUUGGUUGCUUCACUUGUGUGAUCCUAAAUUCUUUGAUUGGAACAGCCAUCCUGGACCAUCCACGAAAGGAAGUGUCCCCCUCAUUGUUGAUGUAAGCAUGUAAAUGAGGAACAGCUUCCUGAAUAUCUUCACGAAUUUCAUAUGUUGAUUCAAGACGAAAGAGAUUAAAAUUCCUCAGCAAGUAAUCAUGAAGUGUCAGAAAUUGGAGAUUGAGUUUUGGGAGGGCAAGACAGCCUUCUCCAGAAUAAUUGAUGCUAGGAACAAGGCUCUCAUCCCACAUGAUCUGUUCAUUUGGAUAAAGAGGAAGUGCAUUAACUGCAUCUUUCUGGGAUUGACGCUUCUCAAAAAAAGCAACUACGACCUCGAUAAGGAAAUCACGCCUUCCAGUCCAUGGAUCCUUCUCUGAAAUUAUUUUAAGCUGUUUAUAGAAGAUAUUAGUACAUCAAAUGACUGUUUUCCAACUUUGUUCGCGUAACAUGUCCAAGUCUAGCACUGAUAAGCAAUGAGAAAUAAAGGAACUACGGAGUGUUUUUUACUUUUUAAAGCUAAAUAUAUGCAAGCAUCCACAUUUUACUAUGUCAUUUAGUAGUGCAUGCAAACAAGGUAAUGAUUGCUGCCAUGACGAUGACUUCUCUGAUCUACGUGUUCUUUACAUUACGUUUACUUGAUUGCAGUUGCCAUUUAAUCUGUAACGAAUGAUGAGGAACAUGUAUAAAGAUGUUUUGUCCUUUUAUCCGAGCAGUGGUCUUGUAGGUAUGCAUGCAUUCCAUCAGAACUUUCGCGUUAACACUAAACAGCACAACCCAAAAAAUAGACCUUCAGUGACAAAUAGCAAAAGAGGAAAUAUAUCCAGCUUAAAACCAUCUACAGUGCAAGGUGCUUGGAGAGGUGCUUACAAAAAUAGACCGGUUUUUGUUUAAGCACCGGUGCUUAUUUGUAGAGGGCAGAUGCUUAAUUAGGCACCUCUGCUAUAGAAAUAAGCACUUGGUGCUUAAGAAAAAAAAGUCUAUUUUAUUAAGCACCUUGCAUUGUACAUGGUCUAAUGUAUUUGAAGGGAAUAAUGCCCAGAUAAUAUUUACAACUAACAGUCACAAUCUGGUAGUUAUUUUUAAAGAAACAAGAAGCACAGAGAAAUGAAAUGAACAUAUAAAUUGCUCACCUUAUUGCAAACCAGAUCUUGCAGUUCCAUAUCUGACAAGACAAGCAGCUUCUUUGUUAAAUCAGCACGCUUAUGGAUUGAACCAAUAUUACACAAGGCAAGGUCUCGCAACUGCAUCAAUCGACAAAUGAAGAGAAAUUAACUAUUUGCCUUCAGCAAUAACUAACCCACCGGCCACCCCUUCCCAAAAUGGAGUCUUAUGUUUGUCAUAAGUGAAACCUUUUUAUGUUGUGUUAGAACUAAUCUUGCCAUAUACCAAAGAGAUGCAUGCGUGAGACGGAAAAAGUCAAAUUGAGUUGGAUGUUGUGCAAUAGGUGAACUAGCUAUGAGCUGUACCACUGUAGCAAUGUUGGUUAUUGUGGCAGGCCGGUCGCUGUAACCCUGUCCCUACAGCCUCUACAUAACGAGAGUCAUGGGUGAGAGCUAGUAGCAAUUGAGAUAUCUAAUAAAGCUUCCUCCCACUAGUAGUAGCUGUGUGUGUGUGUGUGUGAAGCACAUCUCUUUAGAGAGUCCUGGGUGAGAGCUAGAGAGAAGCUAGUGAUUCUAACAAUUGAGUUAUAAUAUGUUGGACCAAGUGUGUAGAAAAAAAUCAGCAUCUAUAAUACCAAACCAAUACCAAUAGAUACAUCAUGAAAUAUAUUCUCAGUGUAUUUAUUUGGUAUUAUAGAUAUAAAUAUUUAUUUCUACAAACUCGGUCAAACUUUAAAAGUUUGACUUAGGACACAACAAAUAAGUCUUGCAUUUUGGAUGGAGGGAGUAUUAUCAAGGAAAUCAGUGUAAAGAAUUUGUAACAGCAUAAAUAAUAAGGCAGACACCUUAGGCACUUGUUUGAAUGCUAGCAGCUGAAAAGCUUGGAAACGAGAAUAGUGAGCUUGCAAGACAUCAUCAUCACUAAGCUGUGUCCCAGAAUUAUCAUUAAUCUCAAAGCCUUCGUAGAACUGAAGUAAGUCCACCAAUUGUGCAAAAAGACGCCCCUUUUCAUGAGCAUAAAGCAUGCUUAAGUGGCACUUGGCAACGACAGCAACAUCAGCGAUAAGCGGCCUUAGAAAUCUGCAUAUUAAACAACAUUAGUGGAGAACAUAUAUACAUAAUUACAAUAUUACAUACAGAAUACAUUAUACAUGGAAAAUUAAAUUUUGGCUAACACUGUCAGUUGCCAGCAAGGUUUAACAGAACCAAGAUGUUUCACUUUAUGAAUGCAGUUAGAUGUUGCUAGAUAAAGAAAGGACCUUCACAAGAAUGUAAAAGAAAUACAAAUGAGAACAUGUUUAUGUUAUGUGCAUGGUUAAAAAAGGGUGCAACGACCAAGGGGCCACCUGCCCUUGCUUGGCAGGACUUGGAGCUCUUCCCCCAUGCCACGCCUCAAGGCUCCAAGGCGUGGAUGAGAAGAGAGAGAGAGACUAGAGAACUUCUAACUAUUACUCACUCCGUUCCUAAAUAUUUGUCUUUCUAUAGAUUUCAACAAGUGAAUACAUUCAGAGCAAAAUGAGUGAAUCUACACUCUAAAAUAUGUCUACAUACAUCCGUAUGUGGUAGUCCAUUUGAAAUCUGAAAAGACAUAUUUAGGAACAGAGGGAGUAUUUCCUUGUCCAGAUGCACAUGCAUGAAUCUCCCAAUGAAGAGACUUACCAAACAAUCUUGGCAAACCAAGAAAAGCACCUCUUAGUGAGAUCUAAUCAAAUAAGUAAUGCAAUUGUAUCUCGAGUAUGAAACCAAAAGGUGACAGUUCAAUCUUAUCUAAUUAUUAAAACAGCUGAACAGCACUGUAGUCUAUAACAGUUUCAUGGAUAUGAAAAGAGCAAUCACGAAUAGCAAAUCACAAAAUGAUGUCUAGUUGUCGCAAUACAUGGAUAAAGAACAACAGGAAGAUUAACACCAUAGACAAGAGUAAAAUAUCUGGAGUUACAAAUGCUCGUGGUGGAAAGAAUCAUAACAACUUAUGUGUAUGACUUUAUUUCAUAUGCAUGGGGACUUUGAAAUCUGUAUUGUCAAAGGAGAGAGACAGUUAUUCUGAAAUAAAUUACACCUGAGUCUAACUCAAAUGGGACACCGUUUAAAUUUAGUAACUUGAGAGAUGAAAAUCCCUAGGCCUCUAACACAUAGAUUGCACCUUAGUCCUUAACAUAGAUGCUAUGUUUCAUAAGGACCUGCAAGUCUGACCUAAAUCAAUCAGACCAAGUGAAGAAGGAUGUUGAGUUCCCAGGUUCUUUGAUCUAAGUGGAACACACUUGAAGGGCUGAAUAACCUAGAGUGCAAUUUGCUCUCAUAUACUAGUCAAAGAUGCAGCUUGAUGCUACCAGUGACAAAAGUGUAUGCAUACCUUCUCGUAGGAAGCUGGCUCAACAUAUCAAUCAGAAAUUCCAUGAAUCUUUCACAAUACAAGACACUAGAAUCAUCAACCUGCCCACUAAGGGAUUCAUUAAAGACAGAUUCUUCUCCACCAUCUUGACUAGAUAAUAUGACCUUUGAAUCAAGAAUCUACAAAAGUUUCAUGGUGGGGGUUAAGCACAAUCCAUAUAUAGAAACACCAUAUUAGAUUGGAACAGUUUUCAAGGUGUACCUCCAGGAAUUCUUCCAUUAGGUUCCUAAGGAAUUUAUUCUCGAGCAUUUCUGAAGAAUUACCAGUUUUCCCAGCCUUUUUCCCUUCCUUCGCUUCUUUUCUUUUAAUUUUUGUCCACUUCUUAAUCAAUUCAGGAUUAAGGCAAAGCUCCAUCUGUAGAUGUUUGAAACAAUAAGGAACUACGAGAAGCACAAACAAGCUAGUCUGAGGUGAGAAAAACUUUGAAUUACCUGAAGUCGUCCAAAAGAAAGAGUAUGCCACAACUUUAAGCUUACUACCUGGAGUAUAGUCUCCCGGACAAUUUCAUCCUCCAAACUCUGCAGUAAAGCAUGAGUUAAAGGGGCACGGAGAGCAUGCGCAAAUUAAACAACAAACAGUACAUAAAUGAGCAGCCUCCACACAGCCAAUUUUGAAGUCAUUAGAGCAGGGAUUCAUAACCUUAAACAACCAGUGCAUAUAUAACAAUUUGAUAGAAAGUUAUGAAGAAAUACAUGUCAAACAACAUAGCGGCCCACAUUAUGGUAUUUGAAAGAUAAUCCUAAUUUCCCUUCAUUUUCGUAGAGGCAUCUACAUGUGAGCGUGUAGUAAAUACCUGAAAUGCGUUUAUCAUAAACAAGAGGUAGUUUGUCUUCUCUGCCAUACUAACAUUCCUAUCCUGCAGACAACAUAAGGACAAGACGAAAUUCAGAAAAAAUGUGGGAAUAUAUCCAUUUGUUCAUUUGAAAAAACAUGAACAUAAGAUUCAGCAUGGAACUGAAUAGGCGAUAAAACUGUUUGCCUCACAGAAAGCACAAGUAUGGAAAAAAGUAAGUAAACAGAUACAGAGACCAAUCAACCCAUGGUUUACAUUGAGUCUACAAAAAAUCAACACCAAGCAUCAGGAAAAACUUCAGUCCACAAUUAACAGGUGCUCAGGGGACAAACACAUCAUUCCAUACUACUAACUUCUCAUGUUUUGUCAGGAUAUUCCACAUUCCCAAGAACACUGAGAAAAUACAUUCUGGCCAGUGACUACUCACUAAAUCUCAUAAAUCAAACACAAUUCUGGUAGUUGCAGCACACAAAAUGCAAGUUUGGUCCCACUGAGCCUAUGACCACCUCUACUGGUUGCUACCAACCACUGAGCUCGUCCUAACAAAAUCUCGCCCAGAGCAAUCUGCUGAACAUGGACCAAAACCGCCUUUGUUGAAAAAGUUCCAGCAAAAACUACUGAAAGUAGAGACACAAAGAAGAGAAACUAAAUUUCAUUGUUUUGCUAAUUAUGCUUCUCCACCCUACAGAGGCUCUGUUUUACUAGAAAUACAUUCAUAGGCGAAGCAUAGUGAGCAAAUGGACAAGUGCAUCAAAUUUUAUUUAUUUAUUUGAGAGUGACAAGUGCAUCAAAUUGAACACACCUCUUCCUUUAGCUUGAGAACGCGCCAUAGGAAGCCUUUGAACGCGUCCUUCCGGCCAUGGAAGGAUGUCCAUGCCGCCACAUUCUCUCGAAACUGCACACAAAAUCCAAAACCAUGUCAGACCCUACAAAUAGCACAGAGAAAUAAGCUACCAUUGAUUGGUAAAUUCGAGUNNNNNNNNNNNNNNNNNNNNNNNNNNNNNNNNNNNNNNNNNNNNNNNNNNNNNNNNNNNNNNNNNNNNNNNNNNNNNNNNNNNNNNNNNNNNNNNNNNNNNNNNNNNNNNNNNNNNNNNNNNNNNNNNNNNNNNNNNNNNNNNNNNNNNNNNNNNNNNNNNNNNNNNNNNNNNNNNNNNNNNNNNNNNNNNNNNNNNNNNNNNNNNNNNNNNNNNNNNNNNNNNNNNNNNNNNNNNNNNNNNNNNNNNNNNNNNNNNNNNNNNNNNNNNNNNNNNNNNNNNNNNNNNNNNNNNNNNNNNNNNNNNNNNNNNNNNNNNNNNNNNNNNNUGGACAUGACGUGCUCAAAGGACGCGUCAUCUGGAUCGAAGUGUGGCCAAAGGUAGUUCUCGAGGUACUGGCUGACCUCGAGGAUCAUGACACGGUGAAGCGGGACCGUCUUGCGACCGCGGCCCUCCAUACGGAGCUCAGUGGCGUAGAUCUCCCUUACGAGGUCAGCAUCGAAGGCGGCGGCGGCUGCUGGCGAGCCCCAGUGCUCCGCGGCAGCGCGGGUGAGGCGGUCGCGCUGGAUGUCGAGGAGUGUGAUGGAGACGCCAAUGGAGGCGGGGGGCUUGUCAGGUGCCGCUGAGGUGGAGACCUCGGCGGGGAGCGGGUACUCGGCGGCGCGGGGGUGCCGGAACUCGAAGACUCCGGUGCCGUAGACCUUCGGCAUGGCCGCAGUUUGCGAGGUUUAGGGUUUCCGUGACAGGUCGGUGCGGACUGCGGAAGGAGGGUAUGGGUGAGAGAGAGAGAGAUUUGAGAAGGCCAAGGGCAACUCCAACGCGGGGUGGGGUUAGGGCCGGUUCUUUUGCUAGCUUUUUUGGGCUUCCGGAAUAAGCUGCUCCCUAUCCAGCUUAUUCUAAAAGCCCAACCAAAAUUUCCUUUUUAGAAACUUACUAGUCAAGUCUUAACUACUAGGCUUUUAAAAAAAUAAAUUUGGUUGGGCUUUUAGAAUAAGCUGGGUAGGGGGCAGCUUUUUGCAGCUUAUUCUAGAAGCCACCAAAAGAACUGGCCCUUAGAGCAUCUCCCGCUGUUGGCCCCUAAGGGGCGCCUAAAAUCGCCGCCUGGGGUGACCCGGCGAAAAAAUGGGUCUGGGGCGAGUUGGCCCCCAGCCGCCACCCUCAGGGCCGGCCCCAGGCGCUGGAAAAAAAAUUAUGUAACAAAUUUACGCAAAGUUCGGCUAAAAUACGCCAAAUUUCGGCAAAUUUGAGCUUAUAUUCGCGGAUUUAAGUCGAGUAGUCGUCAUUACAUAUAAAAACUAAUAAAAAAACUUGCUGAAGGCCGAGAAGUAGCCAUCGUCGGCCUUCUCCUCCUUGACUCGGGCGCCCCUGCUGGACCCCUCCCCGGCUGGUGGCGGCGGCGGCGCGUCGUCGUCGUCGUCGCUGUCGUCGAUGAUGACGACUCCUCCUUCGUCGCGGCCUCGGCGGCGCUGCUCGAAGCGCCGCAGGGCGGCGCGCUGGCGCUCCGUCGCUAUCUUGAUGGAGUCCUGGCGUGCCCAUUCAAGGGUCGCGUCGUCGUCGAGCUCGACCUUGCCGUGCUCCGUCUUCACCGGCGCCAGCCCCGGCUCCGUCUUUGGCUUGACGAAGCGCGGAGGAGGAGCCGACGAGGAGGCGCGCCGGCCGCCCUUGAUAGAGGCAAAGGUGUCCCGUCUUUCGAUGAGAUGAUGAAUAUCGCUUUGAUGGAAGUCGACUUUGACGAUCCGACUACGAACGUGCGAGGACGUCGCGCCUUAGCAAUCGCUAAACCAACUCCGAGAGGUUAUCGACCACGCCGGAGCACGAUCAACCUGACCACGAGGGUCUGUUUCCUGCGAGCAAACGAAGAACAGGCAAGAAACUGAGAUUGCAAUCUGGAUAUUGCGAAUAUAAGAUGAAAGCUUUAUUGAUCAAGGUGGGGUUCUGUGACGCCUUUGUCUGGUCGCUGAACACAAACGAAGUACGCGAAGUUGCAGCUAUGGCGAACUUUUAAUCUAAACAAAACCCAAAGUCUAAACGACGCCCUAAGGGCUGUAUAUAUGGAGGAAGAGGGGGGAAUUUCGUGGCCCUUGAGGAAGGGGUCCGAAACCAACCCUAUCUCUUGUUUCCCCACACAACAGACUCUAAAAACAGCCUAUACUUAUGUAUUUCGAAAUUACAUGGGCCUGGCCCAAUAAUAAGGUGACGCAGCACCUAGAAUAGCCUCUGGACGAAAGUUAUGAAGUAGCAUCUUGUAUAUUUCGUCCAAGGCUUCAUGCACGCAUUAUGGUGGCUUCAACGUCCUGAAAUCAUCACUUGUAACUCCGUUCUUGUUCCCCAUGCGCAUGCCAUCAUCUCCAUGCUUGUUCUUGCUCCAAUGUUCAUCCUUCUCAAAGCUAGGCCCUUCAUUUGUAAGCAAAACAAAUGUAUCCAAUUUAGGCAGCAUCAUAUUCUCAUGAACAUUAGAAUCAUUAGCAAGAAACGAAAGUACCUGGUAAUUUAAUUGGCGUGCGCGAGCUCUAGUAAUUGGUCCAGUAUGUAUAGCAGCAGGGACUGUGGGUGUAAUAAUUGUAUUGAUGUCCUCAUCAUGACUACCUUGGAUACGACCAAAAAUAUUGCAUACAUGCAUAUUUGUCAGGUGAUUUCUAGUGCAAACUAUUCAAUAAUCUAUUUAUGUUAUCCAGAACAAAAAUACUUCACACACUUUUGUGUUUUGUCUAAUUGCAGGUGUAUGGGACAUUUGUACAAUCCACAUAUGAAGAUAAGGCAAAAGGAGAAGUUUAGGUUCUGUUCAAAAAGUCCUCUCACGUCACUUUUGGGCCAAGAGAAGAUAGAGUCCAAGUCUCUCACGUUCUGGAUUCAGAUUCGGACUGCACAGACAUACCUGACUCAAAACGCCAACAACUUUUUCAUACGGACUCCGAAUUGGGUGAUUCUUUUUUUGUUGGAAACUAGAUUUCGUGCUCUUUCCAACCCAAUUGGAUUCACCUUUAAAUUCGUCCGGAGCAUUGAGUUAUGGUCGAAACAAUCUGACGUUGCACCAGAAUCCGAGUCAAACUACAAGUCCAAAGGUGUUGCAUCACCUCCACUUGGGCCCAUGAGCCUUGUACGACCUAGGGUUGGUUUUAGGCUGCCUUGGGACGUCCUCCCACCUCCUUGGCCGCCACCCCUUGCUCCUAUAUAAGUAGAUCCAUCUAGUAGUUUUUUGCUUGGGUUUUGUUUAGAUUAAAAGUUCGCCAUAGCUGCAACUUCGCGUACUUCGUUUGUGUUCAGCGACCAGACAAAGGCGUCACAGAACCCCACCUUGAUCAAUAAAGCUUUCAUCUUAUAUUCGCAAUAUCCAGAUUGCAAUCUCAGUUUCUUGCCUGUUCUUCGUUUGCUCGCAGGAAACAGACCCUCGUGGUCAGGUUGAUCGUGCUCCGGCGUGGUCGAUAACCUCUCGGAGUUGGUUUAGCGAUUGCUAAGGCGCGACGUCCUCGCACGUUCGUAGUCGGAUCGUCAAAGUCGACUUCCAUCAAAGCGAUAUUCAUCAUCUCAUCGAAAGACGGGACACCUUUGCCUCUAUCAAGUGGUAUCAGAUUUCCAGGUUGUUCGGUGAGAUUUUACAGUUUUUCGUAGUUUAGAUCGAGUCUGUUCUUCAUACCUACAGUCCACGAAAAAGCCACAAAAAAAAAUUUAGGGUUAGUUCAUCAUAUCCGAACCAAUUUGACAGGGCACACAAGUGAUAUUAUUUGUCGUCGUUGUAAGGGAAGAGGACAUUUUGCGAGAGAAUGCAAAUCUCAGCGUGUCAUGAUUGCUACUGAGGAUGGUGGGUAUGAGUCCGCUAGUGACUAUGAUGAGGAGACUUUGGCUCUUAUUACACGUGAAGAACAUGGUGGAGAUGAUUCUGAAAAUGAGACGCAAUACAUGGCUCCUGAAGACGCUGACAGGUAUGAAUGUUUAGUUGCUCAACGUGUUUUGAGUGUGCAGGUCACACAAGCAGAGCAAAAUCAGAGGCAUAAUUUGUUCCAUACAAAGGGAGUUGUGAAGGAACGUUCUGUUCGCGUCAUCAUAGAUGGAGGGAGCUGUAACAACUUGGCUAGCAUGGAGAUGGUGGAGAAGCUAUCUCUCACCACAAGACCACAUCCACAUCCUUACUACAUCCAAUGGUUCAACAACAGGGGCAAGGUUAAGGUAACACGUACUGUUCGUGUGCAUUUUAGUAUCUCUACAUAUGCUGAUUAUGUUGAUUGUGAUGUGGUACCCAUGCAAGCAUGUUCCUUAUUACUAGGUAGACCAUGGCAAUUUGAUAAAAAUUCUGUACACCAUGGUAGAAACAAUCAGUAUACUCUUGUUCAUAAGGAUAAAAAUAUUACUUUGCUUCCUAUGACUCCUGAUUCCAUUUUGAAAGAUGACAUUAAUAGAGCUAAUAAAGCAAAACAGGAGAAAAAUAAGAGUGAAAAUCAGAUUGUGGCAAAGGAAUUUGAGCAACAAAUGAAACCUAAUAAUAAACCAUCUAGUGUUGUUUCUGAAAUUAAAUUGAAAAGUGCAUGUUUACUUGCCACAAAAUCUGAUAUUGAUGAACUAGAUUUCAGCAAAUCUGUUUGCUAUGUUUUUGUGUGCAAAGAGGCAUUAUUUUCAUUCGAGGACGUGCCUUCCUCUUUGCCCCCUGCUGUCACUCACAUUUUGCAGGAGUUCGCUGACGUCUUCCCACAAGACGUGCCACCGGGAUUACCACCUAUUCGAGGGAUUGAGCAUCAAAUUGACUUAAUUCCCGGUGCAUCGCUACCCAACCGUGCACCAUACCGUACCAAUCCAGAGGAGACGAAGGAGAUUAUGCGUCAAGUACAGGAGCUGCUCGACAAAGGUUAUAUACGCGAAUCUCUUAGUCCUUGUGCUGUUCCUAUUAUACUCGUGCCUAAAAAGGAUGGUACGUCGCGUAUGUGUGUUGAUUGUAGAGGCAUUAAUAAUAUUACUAUUCGUUAUCGUCAUCCUAUUCCUAGGCUCGAUGAUAUGCUUGAUGAAUUGAGUGGCUCUACAAUAUUCUCCAAAGUUGAUUUGCGUAGUGGAUACCAUCAAAUUCGUAUGAAAUUGGGAGAUGAAUGGAAAACUGCAUUUAAAACUAUGUUUGGUUUAUAUGAGUGGUUAGUCAUGCCUUUUGGGUUAACUAAUGCACCUAGUACUUUCAUGAGACUAAUGAACGAAGUUUUACGUGCUUUCAUUGGACGAUUUGUGGUGGUCUAUUUUGAUGAUAUACUGAUUUAUAGCAAAUCUUUGGAAGAACAUUUGGAACAUUUACGUGCUGUUUUUAUUGCUCUACGCGAUGCACGUUUGUUUGGUAACCUUGGGAAGUGCACCUUUUGCACCGACCGAGUAUCUUUUCUUGGCUAUGUUGUUACUCCACAGGGAAUUGAAGUUGAUAAAGCCAAGAUUGAAGCUAUUGAGAGUUGGCCGCAGCCCAAAACGGUCACACAAGUGCGGAGUUUUCUUGGACUCGCUGGUUUCUAUAGGCGUUUUGUGAGAGAUUUUAGCACCAUUGCUGCACCUCUCAACGAGCUUACAAAGAAGGAUGUGCCUUUUGUUUGGGGUACCGCACAGGAAGAAGCCUUCACGGUAUUGAAAGAUAAGUUGACACAUGCUCCUUUACUCCAACUUCCUGAUUUUAAUAAGACUUUUGAGCUUGAAUGUGAUGCUAGUGGCAUUGGAUUAGGAGGUGUGUUAUUACAAGAUGGCAAACCUGUUGCAUACUUUUCUGAAAAAUUGAGUGGGCCUAGUCUGAAUUAUUCUACUUAUGAUAAAGAACUAUAUGCUCUUGUUCGGACUUUAGAAACAUGGCAACAUUAUUUAUGGCCCAAAGAAUUUGUUAUACAUUCUGAUCAUGAAUCUUUGAAACAUAUUAAAAGUCAAGCUAAACUGAAUCGUAGACAUGCUAAAUGGGUUGAAUUCAUUGAAACUUUCCCUUAUGUCAUUAAACACAAGAAGGGUAUACUAUGCUUUCACAACUUGACUUCAAAAUAUUUGGUUUGGAGACCAUCAAAGAUCAAUAUGUGCAUGAUGCUGAUUUUAAAGAUGUAUUGCAGAAUUGUAAAGAAGGAAGAACCUGGAACAAGUUUGUCGUUAAUGAUGGAUUUGUGUUCCGUGCUAACAAGCUAUGCAUUCCAGCUAGCUCUCUUCGUCUUUUGUUGUUGCAGGAGGCGCAUGGAGGAGGAUUAAUGGGACACUUUGGCGUGAAGAAGACGGAGGACGUACUUGCUACACAUUUCUUUUGGCCAAAGAUGAGACGGGAUGUUGAGCGUUUUGUUGCUCGCUGCACUACAUGUCAAAAAGCUAAGUCACGACUCAAUCCUCAUGGUUUAUAUAUGCCUUUGCCUGUACCUAGUGUUCCUUGGGAGGAUAUAUCUAUGGACUUUGUUUUAGGUUUACCUCGAACAAAGAAGGGGAGGGAUAGCAUAUUUGUUGUCGUGGAUAGAUUCUCGAAAAUGGCGCACUUUAUACCAUGUCAUAGAAGCGAUGAUGCUGUUAAUGUUGCUGAUUUGUUCUUUCGUGAAAUUAUUCGCUUGCAUGGUGUGCCAAAUACUAUUGUUUCAGAUCGUGAUACUAAAUUUCUUAGCCACUUUUGGAGAUGUUUAUGGGCUAAGUUGGGGACUAAACUGCUUUUUAGUACUACUUGUCACCCCCAAACUGAUGGACAAACUGAAGUAGUCAAUAGAACAUUGUCUACUAUGCUUAGGGCUGUUUUGAAGAAUAAUAAGAAAAUGUGGGAAGAAUGCUUGCCUCAUAUUGAGUUUGCUUAUAAUCGUUCAUUGCAUUCUACUACUAAGAUGUGCCCUUUUGAAAUUGUGUAUGGUUUCCUACCUCGUGCACCUAUUGAUUUGUUGCCUCUUCCAUCUUCGGAGAAGGUUAAUUUUGAUGCUAAACAACGUGCUGAAUUGAUCUUAAAAAUGCAUGAGUUAACUAAGGAAAACAUUGAGCGUAUGAAUGCUAAAUAUAAACUUGCUGGAGAUAAGGGUAGAAAACAUGUUGUGUUUGCACCUGGAGAUCUUGUUUGGUUACAUUUGCGUAAGGAUAGAUUUCCUGAUUUGCGCAAAUCAAAGCUAAUGCCACGUGCUGAUGGUCCUUUUAAGGUGUUAGACAAAAUAAAUGAUAAUGCAUAUAAACUUGAGCUGCCUGCAGAUUUUGGGGUUAGUCCCACUUUUAACAUUGCAGAUUUGAAGCCUUAUUUGGGUGAGGAAGAUGAGCUUCCGUCGAGGACGACUUCAUUUCAAGAAGGGGAGGAACGUUCAUUAGUCUCAUGAAAGUACUAGGUGCAUUAGUUAACCCAAAAGGCAUGACUAACCACUCAUAUAAACCAAACUUAGUUUUAAAUGCUGUUUUCCAUUCAUCUCCCAAUUUCAUACGAAUUUGAUGGUAUCCACUACGCAAAUCAACUUUGGAGAAUAUUGUAGAGCCACUCAAUUCAUCAAGCAUAUCAUCUAGCCUAGGAAUAGGAUGACGAUAACGAAUAGUAAUAUUAUUAAUGCCUCUACAAUCAACACACAUACGCGACGUACCAUCCUUUUUAGGCACGAGUAUAAUAGGAACAGCACAAGGACUAAGAGAUUCGCGUAUAUAACCUUUGUCGAGCAGCUCCUGUACUUGACGCAUAAUCUCCUUCGUCUCCUCUGGAUUGGUACGGUAUGGUGCACGGUUGGGUAGCGAUGCACCGGGAAUUAAGUCAAUUUGAUGCUCAAUCCCUCGAAUAGGUGGUAAUCCCGGUGGCACGUCUUGUGGGAAGACGUCAGCGAACUCCUGCAAAAUGUGAGUGACAGCAGGGGGCAAAGAGGAAGGCACGUCCUCGAAUGAAAAUAAUGCCUCUUUGCACACAAAAGCAUAGCAAACAGAUUUGCUGAA